RNAcentral lists this long non-coding RNA (220 nucleotides) under Lathyrus oleraceus (garden pea). RNAcentral's name for it is "Pisum sativum (pea) long non-coding RNA (PSAT_LNC023735)". Lineage: Eukaryota; Viridiplantae; Streptophyta; Magnoliopsida; Fabales; Fabaceae. The record is from RNAcentral.
UUUCUUUGCCCUAGCUGAGCUUUUCUUAGAAGUUGAAUGGAAAUGGCAGUUGCUGAGUUUAGGUAGCGUGUGCUAAGGGAAUAGAUACUAUUUUCAAAACUUGGGAAUGAUUUAUCAUUAAUGGGGCUCUUUCUUUUAAAAGGGCAGACAUUAUUUUUAUUUCUUUUAUUUUUUCUUUUAAUUGCCAUAAUUUCUCAAGAGUCCAAAUCCCUAAUUUUCC